This 553-nucleotide ribosomal RNA is filed under the name uncultured archaeon. RNAcentral describes it as "bacterial SSU rRNA". It matches the Rfam family "Archaeal small subunit ribosomal RNA", at positions 325 to 879 of the family's 1478-position model. The record is from RNAcentral.
ACGGGGUGCAGCAGGCGCGAAAACUUCACAAUGUGCGAAAGCACGAUGAGGGAAUCCCAAGUGCUUGCACGUAAGUGCAAGCUGUUUCUAUGUCUAAAACACAUAGAGAGUAAGGGCUGGGUAAGACGGGUGCCAGCCGCCGCGGUAAUACCUGCAGCUCAAGUGGUGGCCGCUAUUAUUGGGCCUAAAACGUCCGUAGCCGGUUUAAUAAAUGCCUGGGUAAAUUGUAUAGCUUAACUAUACGAAUUCCGGGUAGACUGAUAAACUUGAGACCGGGGGAAGUUAGAGGUACUCCUGGGGUAGAGGUGAAAUUCUGUAAUCCUAGGGGGACCACCGGUGGCGAAGGCGUCUGACUAAAACGGGUCUGACAGUGAGGGACGAAGCCCUGGGGCGCAAACGGGAUUAGAUACCCCGGUAGUCCAGGGUGUAAACGCUGCUUGCUUGAUGUUAGUCGGGCUUCGAGCCCGAUUAGUGUCGGAGAGAAGUUGUUAAGCAAGCUGCCUGGGAAGUACGGCCGCAGGACUGAAACUUAAAGGAAUUGGCGGGGGAGCAC